Molecule: ribosomal RNA, 1372 nt
Filed under: uncultured bacterium
Lineage: Bacteria
Description: bacterial SSU rRNA
Rfam family: Bacterial small subunit ribosomal RNA
Source: RNAcentral
GAUGAACGCUGGCGGCGUGCCUAAUACAUGCAAGUCGAGCGAACGGACGAGAAGCUUGCUUCUCUGAUGUUAGCGGCGGACGGGUGAGUAACACGUGGAUAACCUACCUAUAAGACUGGGAUAACUUCGGGAAACCGGAGCUAAUACCGGAUAAUAUUUUGAACCGCAUGGUUCAAAAGUGAAAGACGGUCUUGCUGUCACUUAUAGAUGGAUCCGCGCUGCAUUAGCUAGUUGGUAAGGUAACGGCUUACCAAGGCAACGAUGCAUAGCCGACCUGAGAGGGUGAUCGGCCACACUGGAACUGAGACACGGUCCAGACUCCUACGGGAGGCAGCAGUAGGGAAUCUUCCGCAAUGGGCGAAAGCCUGACGGAGCAACGCCGCGUGAGUGAUGAAGGUCUUCGGAUCGUAAAACUCUGUUAUUAGGGAAGAACAUAUGUGUAAGUAACUGUGCACAUCUUGACGGUACCUAAUCAGAAAGCCACGGCUAACUACGUGCCAGCAGCCGCGGUAAUACGUAGGUGGCAAGCGUUAUCCGGAAUUAUUGGGCGUAAAGCGCGCGUAGGCGGUCUUUUAAGUCUGAUGUGAAAGCCCACGGCUCAACCGUGGAGGGUCAUUGGAAACUGGAAAACUUGAGUGCAGAAGAGGAAAGUGGAAUUCCAUGUGUAGCGGUGAAAUGCGCAGAGAUAUGGAGGAACACCAGUGGCGAAGGCGACUUUCUGGUCUGUAACUGACGCUGAUGUGCGAAAGCGUGGGGAUCAAACAGGAUUAGAUACCCUGGUAGUCCACGCCGUAAACGAUGAGUGCUAAGUGUUAGGGGGUUUCCGCCCCUUAGUGCUGCAGCUAACGCAUUAAGCACUCCGCCUGGGGAGUACGACCGCAAGGUUGAAACUCAAAGGAAUUGACGGGGACCCGCACAAGCGGUGGAGCAUGUGGUUUAAUUCGAAGCAACGCGAAGAACCUUACCAAAUCUUGACAUCCUUUGACAACUCUAGAGAUAGAGCUUUCCCCUUCGGGGGACAAAGUGACAGGUGGUGCAUGGUUGUCGUCAGCUCGUGUCGUGAGAUGUUGGGUUAAGUCCCGCAACGAGCGCAACCCUUAAGCUUAGUUGCCAUCAUUAAGUUGGGCACUCUAAGUUGACUGCCGGUGACAAACCGGAGGAAGGUGGGGAUGACGUCAAAUCAUCAUGCCCCUUAUGAUUUGGGCUACACACGUGCUACAAUGGACAAUACAAAGGGCAGCGAAACCGCGAGGUCAAGCAAAUCCCAUAAAGUUGUUCUCAGUUCGGAUUGUAGUCUGCAACUCGACUACAUGAAGCUGGAAUCGCUAGUAAUCGUAGAUCAGCAUGCUACGGUGAAUACGUUCCCGGGUCU